This 259-nucleotide ribosomal RNA is filed under the name uncultured Limnohabitans sp. Its description in RNAcentral is "partial 16S ribosomal RNA". It matches the Rfam family "Bacterial small subunit ribosomal RNA", at positions 1 to 272 of the family's 1533-position model. The record is from RNAcentral. Lineage: Bacteria; Pseudomonadati; Pseudomonadota; Betaproteobacteria; Burkholderiales; Comamonadaceae.
GAUCGAGUUUGAUCCUGGCUCAGAUUGAACGCUGGCGGAAUGCUUUACACAUGCAAGUCGAACGGUAGAGGGGGCAACCCCUUGAGAGUGGCGAACGGGUGAGUAAUAUAUCGGAACGUGCCCAGUCGUGGGGGAUAACGUAGUGAAAUUACGCUAAUACCGCAUACGAUCUAAGGAUGAAAGCGGGGAUCGCAAGACCUCGCGCGAUUGGAGCGGCCGAUAUCAGAUUAGGUAGUUGGUAGGGUAAAGGCCUACCAAG